AGAGUUUGAUCCUGGCUCAGGACGAACGCUGGCGGCGCGCGUAACACAUGCAAGUCGAACGAGCGAGAGAGCUUGCUUUCUCGAGCGAGUGGCGAACGGGUGAGUAACGCGUGAGGAACCUGCCUCAAAGAGGGGGACAACAGUUGGAAACGACUGCUAAUACCGCAUAAGCCCACAGCUCGGCAUCGAGCAGAGGGAAAAGGAGCAAUCCGCUUUGAGAUGGCCUCGCGUCCGAUUAGCUGGUUGGUGAGGUAACGGCCCACCAAGGCGACGAUCGGUAGCCGGACUGAGAGGUUGAACGGCCACAUUGGGACUGAGACACGGCCCAGACUCCUACGGGAGGCAGCAGUGGGGAAUAUUGCACAAUGGGGGAAACCCUGAUGCAGCGACGCCGCGUGGAGGAAGAAGGUCUUCGGAUUGUACACUCCUGUUGUUGAGGAAGAUAAUGACGGUACUCAACAAGGAAGUGACGGCUAACUACGUGCCAGCAGCCGCGGUAAAACGUAGGUCACAAGCGUUGUCCGGAAUUACUGGGUGUAAAGGGAGCGCAGGCGGGAAGACAAGUUGGAAGUGAAAUCUAUGGGCUCAACCCAUAAACUGCUUUCAAAACUGUUUUUCUUGAGUAGUGCAGAGGUAGGCGGAAUUCCCGGUGUAGCGGUGGAAUGCGUAGAUAUCGGGAGGAACACCAGUGGCGAAGGCGGCCUACUGGGCACCAACUGACGCUGAGGCUCGAAAGUGUGGGUAGCAAACAGGAUUAGAUACCCUGGUAGUCCACACCGUAAACGAUGAUUACUAGGUGUUGGAGGAUUGACCCCUUCAGUGCCGCAGUU
Molecule: ribosomal RNA, 830 nt
Filed under: uncultured bacterium
Lineage: Bacteria
Description: bacterial SSU rRNA
Rfam family: Bacterial small subunit ribosomal RNA
Source: RNAcentral